Molecule: non-coding RNA, 219 nt
Filed under: Triticum aestivum (bread wheat)
Lineage: Eukaryota; Viridiplantae; Streptophyta; Magnoliopsida; Poales; Poaceae
Description: Bacterial small subunit ribosomal RNA
Rfam family: Bacterial small subunit ribosomal RNA
Source: Rfam by way of RNAcentral
GGAAUGACUGAGCGUAAAGGGCACGUAGGCGGUGAAUCGGGUUGAAAGUGAAAGUCGUCAAAAAGUGGCGGAAUGCUCUCAAAACCAAUCACUUGAGUGAGACAAAGGAGAGUGGAAUUUCUUGUGUAGGGGUGAAAUUCGUCGAUCUAUGAAGGAAUGCCAAAAGCCUGCGCGUAGGUCGCCAGCGAGCAACCAAGCCCACACCCCAUCCAAUUCCCU